RNAcentral lists this ribosomal RNA (253 nucleotides) under uncultured bacterium. RNAcentral describes it as "partial 16S ribosomal RNA". It matches the Rfam family "Bacterial small subunit ribosomal RNA", at positions 524 to 776 of the family's 1533-position model. The record is from RNAcentral.
UACGUAGGCAGCGAGCGUUGUUCGGAGUUACUGGGCGUAAAGCGUGCGUAGGCGGUGUCGUAAGUCUGUUGUGAAAUCUCCCGGCUCAACUGGGAGGGGUCAUUCGAUACUGGCGGGCUCGAGGCCGGUAGGGGGAAGUGGAAUUCCCGGUGUAGUGGUGGAAUGCGUAGAUAUCGGGAGGAACACCAGUGGCGAAGGCGGCUUCCUGGACCGGUUCUGACACUGAGGAGCGAAAGCGUGGGGAGCGAUCCGG